UCAGCAACUCCCACACGCUGAGAAUUAAUUCACAAGGAACUGGGACAAAUAAUAAUUAACCUGGAUUCUUCAACAACUUUUGACUAGUGAUUUGAGACUCCAUGGAUUAACAUUGCUGAGAUCUAUGUGGUGGAGAAUUAGAAUUGGGUUUUAAUAUCACUGGUACAGGUCGUGAAAUUUGUUGUCUUUGUGGCAGCAUGCAAUAGAGAAAAGCUGUGAAUUACAAAACCUGACAGCGAUGGAGAUGAAGCUAUUCCUAAAACUUUGAGUGUAUGUCUUCAGGCUGCUCUACCUCCUCCUUAAUGGUAGCAAUGAGAAGAAGGCAUGUCCUGGAUGAUGGGAGUCCUUAAUGAUGGAUGCUGCCAUUUCGAGACAUCACCUUUUGAAGACAGAAACGUAACAAUCUACAGUAUGUUACAGGCCCUUCAACCCACAACUUUGGGCUGACCAGGUUUACUGUGCUUGGUCACUUCAAGCAAUGGAGAUUAAAAGAAACCCUGCCAAUGGUUCCACAAGAUAAGGAGACAUCCAAACCGACCAACAGUGAAUUGGAGAGUUUCCAUUUCUUGUAGCCUGGAGAAAGAACAGUUCAACAUUUCUUGUAGCCUGGAAUUGUGCACUCCCACCAGAAGCCAUUCAACAAACUCAAAGGGACUCUCUGUCCCAACAAAGGCAAAAAUAAAAUUGCAGGUACACAUAACCCUAUAUUGGGCCUCAGAAUAGUUAAACCAUUAAUGAGUCGGGUGAGACAGUCUUUGUUAUUUGUCUGUGCACUCGGGGCCAGCAGAUCUGAUUCCGGUCAUUAUUGAGUGAUUCUGGAGAGAAUGUACAGUACAAGGCCAUUGAGUACAAGAUCACAGAUGUUAGAAAAUAGAACUGUACAGCACAGGAACUGGCCAUUUAGCCCAUAAUGUUGUGCUGAACUAAAUAGAAAGCAAAUUAAAAAAACACCCAAACACUAAUCCCUCCUACCGACACCAUGUCCUUAUCCCUCCAUUACACCCAUGUGCUGAUCCAAACUUCUCUUAAAAGCCUCUAAUAUAUUUGCCUCUACCACCAUACCAGGUAGCACACUCCAGGCAAUCACCCAGGACUGAGUAAUAAAAAUAAAAAUUACACACCCCCCUUGAACCCCUCACCUUCAAUGCAUGCCCUCUGUUAUUAAACAUUUCAUCCCUGGGAAACAGAUUCUCCCUGUCUACUCUAUGCCUCUCAUAAUCUUAUAAACCUCUAUCAGAUUUCCUCUCUUUCUCCACUGCUCCAGAGAAAAGAACCCAAGUUUAUCCAGCCUCUCGUGACAGCACAUGCCCUCCAAACCAGACAGUGGUAAACCUCUUCUGUACUCUCUCCAAAGCCUCAACAUCCUUCCUAUAGUGGGGCGAUCAGAACUGUAUGCAAUACCACAGACAUGGCCUAACCAGUGUUUUAUAAAGUUGCAACACAAACACUUCAACUUUUGAACUCAUUGCCUCGAGUAACAAAUGUUCAUAACACUUCUCCCAGUAGGGCAGCACAGUGGUGCAUUGGUUAAUGGACCGCUGUAUCAGUGCCAGUUUUCCGGGUUCAAUUCCCGCCGCUGCCAUUUACGGAGUUCGGACUUUCUCCCUUUCUCUGGGCGCUCCGGUUUCCUCCCACGUUCUGAAGAUGGAAGGUGUUAAUCGGUCACAUGGGUAUAAUGUUGGCUGCAUGGGCCUGUUAUCACACUGUACCUUUAGAUACAAUUAAAAAAAAAUCCUCUUGCUAAAAUGCCUAACAUCCAGAGGUCAGGUACAGGCCGAAACGAGGUGGUGGGAUCCAAGCCCCAAGAGCGUGUCAAAGUGACUGAACCUGAAGUCUGGACGAUGACUUAAACACGGGGGUCGGAUUGGAAAGUUGGGCACAGGCAGAAUUGAGGGGGUGGGGUCCAGGCCCUAGAGUAGAUUGAAGCGGCUGAACCCGAAGUUUGGACAUUCAUUUAGACAGCGGGCCAGAUUGAAAAGGUCAGGGUGUCGGGGUUCAAGGUAAGGGACAGCCCGGUUCAGCACCCUGCUCCACUCUUCACUGAAUUAAGGGUCUGGGGAUGGAUUCUUUGCGGACUUCCGUUCACGGACUUAUAUUUUUAAAGGGUUCUUUUGGAUUUCUUUGUUUUGUGGCUGCCUGCUUGGAGACGAAUCUCAAGGUUGUGGUGGUGGUGCCAUCCGUCGGUCUCGAGAGACCAUGGAUCUGCACCUGGAGUUUCCAGGGCGCAGGCCUGGGCAGGGUUGUAUGGGAGACCAGCAGUUGCCCAAGCUGCAGGCCUUCCCCUCUCCAUGCCACCGAUGUUGUCCAAGGGAAGGGCACUGGGACCCAAGCAGUGUCAUUGCAGAGCAAUGUGUUGGACACAAACACGCUGCCUCAGCUGAGGCUCGAACCAGUGACCUUCAGGUUACUAGUCUGAUGCCUUGCCCACUAAGCCAACUCAAGGUUGUAUACACAUACUUCUAUAAUAAAUGUACUUUGAAAUCCCAGUUCAUAGACAAAGCACAUGGGUGAGGAUCCAUUCAGCAUCAAUCCAAGCAGAAGAUCACUCACUCAGGAAAGGAGCCAGGAAACACUGCAAGAACAGAAUUAGGCCAUUCAGCCCACAUCUGAUCUACUUUCCCCAAUGUCAUUCUCGCUAUUCGGUGCUCUGUCUUUAUUUUCCUGGGUACUACUGCAACACACUGAUGUGAUGAUGGCGGCUCCUGUUCCAACAUAUCGGUCCAUAAUCUCUGCUUGAGCCAAGAUGAGGCCAUCCUCAGGGUGGAGGAGAAACAUCUUACAUUCUGUCUUUAUUCUAUUCUGUCCUUAUAUUCUGAUGGUAUUGAUAUAAUUUCUCCUUCUGAUAAACAAAUUCAGCCCCUCCACCAAUUCCUCACUCUGACCAUUCACUUCUUCUCACCUGACUAUUACUUCCCCUGAGUCCCCUCCUCCUUUCUUCUAUGGCCCAGUCUCCUUUCCUAUCAGAUUCCUUCUUCUCUAGCUCUUUACCUUUCCCACCCACCUGGCUUCACCCAUCACCUUCUCCUCCCCCCACCAUUUUAUCCUGGCAUCUGCACCCUUCCUUCUCAGUCCUGAAGAGGGUCUCCGCUCGAAAUGCUGACUGUUUAUUCCUCUGUAUGGAUGCUGCCUGACCUGCAGAGUUCCUCCAGCAUUGUGUGUGGGUUCCUAUAGGUUUCACUGCUUUAUACAUACAAAAUUAAUAAAAUCAAUUUGCCAAUUUACUGUUAAUCCCCUUACCUAUUAAUCUUGGACUUAAAUACACCUAAUGACUUGGCAUCCGCAACCUUCUGGCGAUGAUUUCACAGAUUCACCACCCUCUGGCUGAAGAAAUUCCUCCUACCACAGUUCUACAUUCAGCUCUCAACCCUUCAUUCUGAGGUUUUGCCUUCGGAUCCCAGACUCUCCCGCUAAGGGAAACAUCCUCUCCACAUCCACUCCAUCCAGGCCUUUCAGCAUCAUUAAUACCAAGCCUGAUCUCUGACAGAAUGUAAUAGACCCCACCUUCCACAACAACUUUUUACAAGUGCAGUGGAUUCUAGAUGAUCGGGGCAGCUGCUUUCUUGGGAAGACUCUUGAAGGUCAAAAACUAAUUGAGAAAAUAACUGGGGUUCCCUCCAUUACUGGGACACUGGGACUGUUGUUCAACAGUUUCUAAAAGUUGGCAGUUGCGUGCACUUGUGACACUACAACAUGAACGGUUUCUAAAUGGCAUCAAUUGUGAGUGUUUGUGUUCAAAGAACAGUGAUUUUGGUCACUGAUAGCUGGUGAUAAAUAAGCAGUAAGACAACUUCUGAACUGUUUUGCUCACUGCGGAUUCAAGCAUUGUGGCUUGGAGCUUGGAGACUUCAACAAGUCAGGCACUACGAAGAAUUUAAAGGAAUUAACAAUCAUCUUGAAUGUUACAAUGAAAAUGAAGAUUGGACGACGCAAUUGUCAAAAGCAUUUGAUGAAUCAGGUUUAUCAUCACCCACAUGAGUCGUGAAACUUGUUAACUUAGCAGCAGUUCAAUGCAACACAUGAUAUAGAAGAAGAUAAGAUAUAAAAGUAAGUAAAUAAGUAAAUCAAUCCUCUGUUGGUAACUACUAGGAACAUAAGUUUUAGUUGUAUUGUAGUAGCAUUGUUUGGGUUUGGGUUACUGUGGAGAUACGUCUCUACCAAAGGGGGGGUAAGGUGCUCCUUCCCUCUGCUAGCCUGCAGGUCACACUUGGGCAAAGUUAACACCAGCUUAGCGCCCCCCCCCCCCCACCUGAUCAGGGUCAUGGGAGCAGAUGGUGGAUAGUCUUAUGAGCAGUUGGUGCAGAUCACAAGUCCUGGUUACGCGACCACUGACACCAGGCAGGCGAAAGAAAUUCAAAGGCAACACGAGUGUAUCUGCAGAAGUUGGAAAUAAAUAAAAACACAAAAUGCUGGCCGAACUCAGCAGGCCAGACAGCAUCUAUGGGAGGAGGUAAAGACGACAUUUUGGGCUGAAGCCCUUCAUCAGGAGUCAAGGCAAAAGAAAUUAUUGGCCAGUUACCCUUACCUUAGUGGUUGGGAAAAUGUUGUGGUUUUGGGGCACUUGGAGACAAAUGAUAAAUCAGCAUGGUUUCUGUGAAGGGAAAUCUUGCCUAACAAAUCUGUUAAAGUUUGUCAAGGAAGUAACAAGCAGGGUGGACAAAGGAGAGGCAGUGGAUGUCAUUUACUUGGAUUUUCAGAAGGCAUUCGAUAAGGUGCCACACAUGAGGAUGCUUAACAAGAUAAAAUCCUAUAGCGUUACAGGUAAGAUACUGGCAUAGAUAGAGCAAUGGCUGACAGGCAGGAGGCAGUGAGUGGGAAUAAAGGGGCCUUUUCUGGAUGUCUGUCAGUAUUGGGACCACUACUUUUCACUUUUGUCACUGAUUUGGAUAAUGGAAUUGAUGGGUUUGUGGCAAAGUUUGUAGGUGAUAUGAAGAUAGGUGGAGGGUUAGGCAGUGCGAGGAAGCAAUGUGAUUGCAACAGAACUUGUUUGGAAGAAUGGGCAAAAAAGUGGCAGAUGGAAUGCAUUUUGAUAAAAGGAACAAUAGUGUGGACUAUUAUCUAAAUGGGGAGAAGGUUCAAACAUCAGAGGUACAGAGAGUCCUCUUGCAAGACUCCCAGAAGGUUAAUUUACAGGUUGAGUCUGUGGUAGAGAAGGCAUUUAUUUCAAGGAGAAUACAAUAUAAAAGCAAGGAGAUAAUGCUGAGCUUUUAUAAUAUACUAAUCAGGCUGCAUUUGAAGAAUUGUCAACAGUUUUGACCCAUAUCUCAGAAAGGAUGUGUUGUCAUUGGAAAGAGUCCAUAGGAGGUUCACAAGGAUGAUUCUGCGAAUGAAGGGGUUAAUAUACGUUAAGCAUUUGGCAGCUUUGGGCCUGUACUCACUGGAACUUGGAAGAACGCAGGGGGAUCUCAUUGAAACCUACCAAAUGUUGAAAGGUCUAAAUAGUAUGGAUGUGGAGAGGAUGUUUCCUAUGGUGAGGUAUCCAGAAUUAGAGGGCACAGCCUCAAAAUUGAGGGGUAACCUUUUAGAUCAGAGGAAGGAGGAAUUUUUUUAGCCAAAGAAUAGUGAAUCUGUGGCAUGCUCUGUCACAGACUGUGUUGGAGGUCGUCCAUGGGCAGAAGUUGAUAGUUUCACGAUCGGUGAGGGCAAAGGAUAUGGCGAGAAGGCAAGUGUAUGGGGUUGAGUGGGAUCCGGGAUCAGCUAUGAUGGAAUGGAGGAGCAGACUCGAUGGGCUGAAUGGGCCUAAUUCUGCUCUUACAGCACAUAAUAAUGACAAUGAGUAGCAUUGGUAAUGUUCUAAUUUGUUCUAUAUUUCAUUUAAAUAGAUAAUCCGUUACUCAGUUAAACGGUAGCUUGUCUUUUUAUCCCCUUUUAACUAUUUCCAUGGAACUUUGGCUAAUUUGGGCAGCGACAUUAGUGGGCCAAAACUGUUUGGUCCCUAAGUGUCGCAAUUAACUAGAAUACACUGUAUUUAAGCAAGGGUUCCAAACCUUUUUUAAGCCAUGGAGCCUUACCAUUAACCAAGGGGUCCACGGACCACAGGUUGGAAACCCCAGUCUUAAAGUAAAAAUAAACAACUUCACUUCACAACAAGCAAUCUGCUGAAGGAACACAGCAGGUCGAGCAGCUUCUCUGGGAUGGAAGGAAUUACUGUCGAAUAGCUGCAAUGCUACCUACAAUGCAGUGAUGAACGGUCAGGUUCCAGUGGCUGAGAAUAUUUAAAACGAGUAAAGGAUGAAGCAUUUAAGCAAGUGAAUGGGACCAAUACUUAUACAGAUAUCAUGGUUAAAAUAGUCUUAUUUCAAGAUCCGUGUACAUUUAGAGCAGAGUCACACUGGUUCUUGAUUAGCAAGGGUAUCAAAGGUUACAGGGAGAAGGCAAGGGAAUGGGGGCGAGACAGAUCAAUCAGAAGAAAUGGUGUGCAGACUCGAUGGGCCUUAAGGUCUAAUUUUGCUCGUUUGUCUCCUGGUAUUAUAAUAUUUAUGAUUAUGAGCAAUAUGAUCCUGUAAUCCAAAUACACUGCUCUGCAAGUCAAGGAUAAAGCAGGCUCACUGUGUGUGUACUUGCCACCCAUCCCCCAUCACUCUCAGCUGCUCCAGUUGAGCAAGUACAACCCCGUACCAGCCUCAAUGCCCACAACCAGUACUAAAGGGACAAUGUCUGUGGAAGCGGUAUUGUUUAGUGGAUUACAGCAAAGGACACUCUGCUGCCAAACUGUAAAAUGGUCGUGCCUCCCUCCCUCCCCAUCCCCGGGUGACUAUAUAGAUUAUACAGUCGGCCCUCCUUAUCCAUGGGGGACUGAUUCCGGGAUCCCACGCGGAUACCAAAAUUCACAGAUGCUCGUCCCUUAUUUAACAAGUACCGGUGUGGUGGUCUUCAGGACCCAGCGGAACCCCGGACUUUACCUAACAUGUCUCUGUGCGGUGGACAUUAGGUCCUGGCGGCACAGCUCUAAAAAUGCAGUGUUCCUGUUCACGAAAAUAAUCACGAUCGCGAUUGAAAAUAAGGUGGAAGUAAUAAAGCGAUCAGAAAGAGAUGAAAUGCCAUUGGUCAUUGGAAAAGCGUUAGGCUACAGUCGGUCAACGAUUGGAACAAUUUUAAUGGAGCAUGUGAAAGGCCCUGCCCUGAUGAAAGCUACAAUUAUUACUAAGCAACGCAGUGGUUAAAUUAUUGAAAUACGUAUAUUUCUUAAGUGUUUUAUAUGCAUAGAAAGGUAAAAUAUGUUCUAUAUACUAAGAAAAAUGUUUGACUAACUGACGCUAAAUAAUACCGGAUGUACCUGUUCUGACUUCAAAUCCGACUCAGGAAUGGAACUCAUUCAUAACCUGGGGACUGCUUGUACUUUUAAGUCAUUUCUAGAUUACUUAUAAUAUGUAAUACAAAGUAAACGCUAUGUAAAUAGUUGUCAUACUGUAUUGUUUAGGGAAUAAGAAAAAAUAGUCUGUACAUGCUCUGCUCAAGCAAUUGUAACCCCCUGGGUCGCCUCAGGCUCGCUCAGCUCGUUCCGUCUAGGGGGAGCAGCCUUCGGCCCCACCAAACUGGGUAAUCAGCUGGUGUGGAUGCUGUGUGAUGUCCCCGCCUCGCCCAAAACCAGACAGUACACCAUAUGCAAUUAAAUCAGUACAAUUUAUAAAGGUUACUAUAACUAAGUGAUUAAUAACGAUACAGUAUAUAUGAAGAGAAAAUUAAAGAAAAGGCGCCAAACUUAUCAAAGUCCAAACCACUUCGUGCACAACCGUUGGAGCUCAAUUACUGAAGUCUUCUGGCCACCAUUCGAUCCCCUCCGAACUCCUCGACUCGCAGCUCAGGACCCUCCGAACUCCUCAACUCUCCAAACAGCUCAGGACCCUCCGAGUGGUCAACCAAGCACAUCUAGCUUCAU
This is a long non-coding RNA of Hypanus sabinus (Atlantic stingray), 7876 nucleotides long. RefSeq lists it as uncharacterized. Lineage: Eukaryota; Metazoa; Chordata; Chondrichthyes; Myliobatiformes; Dasyatidae. The transcript has 3 exons. The record is from RefSeq and is a predicted model, not a curated record.